RNAcentral lists this ribosomal RNA (791 nucleotides) under uncultured bacterium. RNAcentral describes it as "bacterial SSU rRNA". It matches the Rfam family "Bacterial small subunit ribosomal RNA", at positions 8 to 796 of the family's 1533-position model. The record is from RNAcentral.
AGAGUUUGAUCCUGGCUCAGAUUGAACGCUGGCGGCAUGCCUUACACAUGCAAGUCGAACGGUAACAGGUCUUCGGAUGCUGACGAGUGGCGAACGGGUGAGUAAUACAUCGGAACGUGCCCAGUAAUGGGGGAUAGCUCGGCGAAAGCCGGAUUAAUACCGCAUACGCCUUGAGGGGGAAAGUGGGGGACCGCAAGGCCUCACGUUAUUGGAGCGGCCGAUGGCUGAUUAGCUAGUUGGUAGGGUAAAGGCCUACCAAGGCGACGAUCAGUAGCUGGUCUGAGAGGACGAUCAGCCACACUGGGACUGAGACACGGCCCAGACUCCUACGGGAGGCAGCAGUGGGGAAUUUUGGACAAUGGGGGAAACCCUGAUCCAGCAAUGCCGCGUGUGCGAAGAAGGCCUUCGGGUUGUAAAGCACUUUUGUCAGGGAAGAAAUCCUUUGGGCUAAUACCCUAGGGGGAUGACGGUACCUGAAGAAUAAGCACCGGCUAACUACGUGCCAGCAGCCGCGGUAAUACGUAGGGUGCAAGCGUUAAUCGGAAUUACUGGGCGUAAAGCGUGCGCAGGCGGUUGUGUAAGACAGGUGUGAAAUCCCCGGGCUUAACCUGGGAAUUGCAUUUGUGACUGCACGACUAGAGUGUGUCAGAGGGGGGUGGAAUUCCACGUGUAGCAGUGAAAUGCGUAGAUAUGUGGAGGAACACCAAUGGCGAAGGCAGCCCCCUGGGAUAACACUGACGCUCAUGCACGAAAGCGUGGGGAGCAAACAGGAUUAGAUACCCCGGUAGUCC